UUUAUAUAGGUGUUUAGCAUAAGAAAUUUUGAUUUUCUAGGAUAUAAUUAAAUUUGUAAUAUAAAA
RNAcentral lists this transfer RNA (66 nucleotides) under Phyllodiaptomus tunguidus. Its description in RNAcentral is "tRNA-Gln". Lineage: Eukaryota; Metazoa; Arthropoda; Copepoda; Calanoida; Diaptomidae. The record is from RNAcentral.